GUUGGGCAUGGUAGCACAUGCCUAUAGUCCCAGCUACUUGGGAAGCUGAGGCAAGAGGAUCACCUGAGUCCAGAAAUUCUGUGCUGUAGGUGCUACAGUGUGCUAUUCCAAUUGAGCAUCCACAUUAAGUUUAGCAUCAGGAUGAUGAUCUCCCAGGAGCAGACGACCACCAAAAUGCCUAAGGAGGAGUAACGUGACAGAGGUCAGAUAUGGAGUGGGUCAAAACUCUAUGUAGAACAACAGUAGCAUGGCACCUGUGAAUACCCACUGCAAUCCAGCCUGGGCAACACAGCAAAACACCAUCCCUUAU
Unclassified non-coding RNA from Saimiri boliviensis boliviensis (Bolivian squirrel monkey), 310 nucleotides. It matches the Rfam family "Metazoan signal recognition particle RNA". From Rfam's summary of the family: The signal recognition particle (SRP) is a universally conserved ribonucleoprotein. It is involved in the co-translational targeting of proteins to membranes. NCBI's taxonomy places the organism in Eukaryota, Metazoa, Chordata, Mammalia, Primates, Cebidae. The record is from Ensembl.